RNAcentral lists this ribosomal RNA (565 nucleotides) under Streptomyces sp. 343F03. RNAcentral describes it as "bacterial SSU rRNA". It matches the Rfam family "Bacterial small subunit ribosomal RNA", at positions 93 to 671 of the family's 1533-position model. Lineage: Bacteria; Bacillati; Actinomycetota; Actinomycetes; Kitasatosporales; Streptomycetaceae. The record is from RNAcentral.
UAGUGGCGAACGGGUGAGUAACACGUGGGCAAUCUGCCCUUCACUCUGGGACAAGCCCUGGAAACGGGGUCUAAUACCGGAUAACACUUUCACGGGCAUCUGUGAGGGUUAAAAGCUCCGGCGGUGAAGGAUGAGCCCGCGGCCUAUCAGCUUGUUGGUGAGGUAAUGGCUCACCAAGGCGACGACGGGUAGCCGGCCUGAGAGGGCGACCGGCCACACUGGGACUGAGACACGGCCCAGACUCCUACGGGAGGCAGCAGUGGGGAAUAUUGCACAAUGGGCGAAAGCCUGAUGCAGCGACGCCGCGUGAGGGAUGACGGCCUUCGGGUUGUAAACCUCUUUCAGCAGGGAAGAAGCGAAAGUGACGGUACCUGCAGAAGAAGCGCCGGCUAACUACGUGCCAGCAGCCGCGGUAAUACGUAGGGCGCAAGCGUUGUCCGGAAUUAUUGGGCGUAAAGAGCUCGUAGGCGGCUUGUCACGUCGAUUGUGAAAGCCCGAGGCUUAACCUCGGGUCUGCAGUCGAUACGGGCUAGCUAGAGUGUGGNAGGGGNAGAUCGGAAUUCCU